CCCACGAGCACACGGACGCACUCAAGCCCACAGGGCAACGAGCACUGCCAUAGACGCACUGACACAGACGGAGGGCGGACUAAGGCCAUCAUCUGUGGCAUAGCAAUUCACACGAGAGCAAUCCAGCUAACUUGUUCGGCGCGACACUUCGACCCUCAGCCCCCUUCUUAUUGUUAUUCUCACGUCUCUCCCCAGCUUAGGAUGCCGUCACCUCACGUGGAGAAAACGCCAAUGGACGCGCGGGCGGAUGCGAGUGAUCCCGCGCCAGCGGCGACGAUGGUCAGCGCAGGCGAUGUGCCCAACGCUGAGGAGGACACAGCUGUCGCUUCGGACACGGGCAUGCUAGAUAAAACGAUGACGAAGAGGCGUGCGACCCGUCCUUCUUCGAGGAGGAGGCGGAGUGUGCCGCUCUGCUCGCGCGCGCUGCAGAGCUGUUGCCGCCGACAAAUAAGCAGCUUUUGCCCUCUGUCGGCCAGGACCCGAACGGAGUGGCUGCCAUGUUGGAAGAUCGCUUCGCGAAGAUUGUCGACCGCUACCAGAACAGCCCGCAUCUCUUGUACCCGUACCUGGAGAUGCUGAUACAGCCUCUCGUGGACCUGCUUCUCCGCUAUCUGCCCAACGCCGCGGAGGUGUGGGCACGCGAAGCGGGGUCGGGAGCGGGAGAGUCGCCUACGGCAGCUGCGGGUGCUGGGGAAGCCUUGACAUCGUCCACCGUUGCCGGGGCGGCAUCGCACCACCGGCGUCUGCGGCGGCGACGCAGACGCUGGUGGUGGCGAGUGCGCUGGGUCAGGACUUGACCAUGUUCGAUGCGGACGCACCCAAGACCCCGCUGCACGUAGUGUGCAAGGCCCUCUACAGCGUCGUCAAGACCGCUGGAGAAAAGUGCUGUACGAGCCACUUCCCCAAUAACGUGGGGCACUACGAAGACGUCUUUUACACGCUGCAGCUGUGGGUGGCCGACGCGACGCGGCAGCGCGAGUGGGAGGUGCGCUACUGCCUGCUGCUGUGGCUCUCGAAUCUCGUCCUCGUGCCCUUCUCUCUAGCCCUUGUCGACACGAACUCCGCCGAGGAAGGCGGCGGCUCGGCGGCGGUUCGACGGCUACCGCUCUCAGACGCCACCCUUGUCACAGCAAGCCGCUUCCUCGCCGACACGUCCAAGUGUCGCGAGGCGGCGGCCCUCCUCGUCGCCCGCCUGCUCACUCGGCCCGACAGUGCACGGCAUCGAGGGCUCUUCUUCGACUUUGCAAACUUCAUUCUGGAAUCCACCUCGCCCACCGCGACCGUGGGUGUUGGCGGGGCGGCGACGGUGGUGCCGCCAGGGGCUCCGUGGGCCUUCCUCGCCGAGGGGACGCAGAACACCUUCAGCUCACUCUUGUCGCAGCCUUUCCUACUGCCUGGCGUGCUGCUCGCGAUUGCGAAGACUAUGAAGCUCGGACGACGGGAGGAGCUCGUCGGCUUCGCACCUCGCCUGCUGGCGUGUGUGGCGGCCGUCUUUGAGCAACACCUCAACGAUAGCCUCCUCUGCAAGACAGCGACAAAGGUGGGCCAGCGGCUGGUGCUGUCCAUGUUGAAACGCCGCCGAGCCGAGUGGCGCUACAGCCGGCACAUUGCCUCCCUCAGCGCCAACCUCGGCGUUGCGGCUGCCGAGGGCGCGGCGCAGCUGAGCGCGCGGCAGGAGGAAGAGGCGGGCAGGGACGCCGUCGAUGAAGACAAGAUCGACGGGCUGGACGGAGACGAGGAAAGCCUUGAGACUGGGAUUGGGCUUCUUCUCCAGGCCGUUGGGCACAAGGACACAGUAGUGCGCUGGAGCGCAGCCAAGGGCAUCGGUCGCGUCUGCGAGCGACUACCUGCGGUGUUUGCCGAGGAGGUCAUGGGGGAGGUACUAAAGGUAUUCAGAAACGCGUACAGCGACGCCCAUUGGCACGGCGGCCUCCUUACGAUCGCCGAGCUGUGCCGCCGCGGCCUCGUGGGUACGGCGCUGCUGUCAAAGGUGGUGCCAUUGGUUGCCGAGGGCCUGGCGUACGACCUCAGCAGGGGCACCUACAGCGUAGGAGCGCACGUGCGGGAUGCCGCGUGCUACACUUGCUGGUCCGUGGCGCGCGCCUACGACGCUGAAGACCUCGUCAUCCACGUGCGCCAGCUGAGCGUCGCGCUUGUGGUUACGGCGCUUUUCGAUCGUGAGGUGAACGUGCGCCGCGCAGCGGCUGCCGCUUUUCAGGAGUGCGUGGGUCGUCUCGGCAACUUUGAGCACGGUAUCGAGCUGGUGACGGCGGUGGACUUCUUUUCGCUUGCCUCGCUGCGGCACGCGUACACGGUAGUGGCGCCGGUGAUCGCGCAGUACGACACGUACCGAGAUGGGAUGCUGCGGGAGCUCGUUGGUGCAAAGCUGCUGCAUUGGGACCGCAAUGUGCGCCAGAUGGCCGCCAUCGCGCUCGGGCUCGUUGCCAUCCGUGAGCCUGCCGCUACGAUUCUCGAGGAGGUGCUGCCGGAGCUGCUGAGGCGAGUCGAGGACACGACAGUGGCGACGCGUCAUGGCGCCAUCCUCGCCAUCGCGGAGCUCAUCCGCAACCUCACGCCGUCUGCGUGGAGCGAGGGUCACAUAGUGCAGUUUAUUGGUAUGCUGGCAACUCUUGAGGGGUCUCGUGGCUUUAGCGCGCGCGGUGGCACGCACAUCCGACAAGCAUGCUGCGUCAUGCUGCAAGCCAUUGCUGGCCAGUCCCUGCCCUUGCCGAACACGGUGGAGGUGAGACGAGUUGGUGGGCGGGUAGACAAGGUGCGGACCCUCGCCGUCGUCUUUGCAUUUCUAAAGGACUCGUGGGACAACAUUUUGGACUGGGUGCAGCACGCCGCUGCGGACACCUUCUGCGCGGUGGCGCAGACAUACUUCGUGAAGUUUCUCCCAUCCUUUCACGGCAAGGUAUUGAUGGAGGUGUACGAAGGCUGCUUGCCGGCGCAGCGUGUCCUGAGUCGGCGCGGCUUUCUCGCCGCGGUAGGUGGGUUGCCUGCGACGCUGCUGAAUGCGCCGUGGGCGCCAGGGGCAAUGACAAGUGCCGACGGGCCCACCAGUGGCGCAUCAGCCCCUCUCGCAUUCGAAGCGUUUCUCCCCGUGCUGCAGCGCGCCUCGUUGUUGAGCGCCGAGGACCUGCAGAACCCGGAGCUGGCGGACGCUCAUGUUCGCCGCAACGCGGUGCGCUCGCUCGCGCAGGUGCUCGUCCGCAUCGACCCCGGCGUGCCAUCUGUGACGCCGGCGUGGUACACCACGGUGAUGGAGGGAACAGUGCUGCAAGCACUGCAGGACUACGCGACGGACAAGCGCGGCGACGUCGGCUCGUUUGUGCGGCUGGCCGUGCUUGAGGGACUUCCCUCUCUGCUGACGUACGGCCUCACAGCCGCUGCGGCAGUCCCGCUCUGCACGGCGGCCACCAAGAUGCGUGUGCUGCAAGGCGUGGUGCGAUGUGUCUUGGAGAAGCUCGACCGUGUACGGGCUGUGGCCGGAGGUGUGCUCGCGCGCGUGCUGCUGGACGAUCCAUGCGACAAGGCGUUGUGGGCCGAAGGGACGGACAAGGAUGUGGGUCUGAGUAACUACGAGCUCAGUAUCAAGGCAGAGGUGGCGCUGUUUCGGGCACACCUUCGGCGCUUGGUGACCCAUGUUACCGGUGAAGACAGCGACGCUGGUGGCGAGCGCGGCGAACCCCUCGCCUGGAACAAUACGCAGCAGGUCAUCAGCUGCAUUGGCCCGUUCGUGCUGAUACACUGUCCUGUGAGCCUCGCCCACGCCGCGAUGGAGGGCCUCGUCGUGGCUGCGGGUGACCUCUCCGAGCACGUGCGCAGGCCGGCUGCGGCGGCGCUGCUCAGCGCUUUCCAUGGCGACCACGCGACGAGCGCUGAAGCCUCGGCUACCUUGCCGCAGCGCCUGUCUGCGUGUCUCAUGGACGUCCUUGUGGCCCACGAGCAUGAAGAGCGCAUGCUGAAGCCGGCCAGCCGCGUCCUGGACCUGCUCAUCAACGAGAACGUCUUUGCUGUCGAGCAGCACCGCGCAGUGCUGGAGAUGCUGCGAAAGGAACUGAAGCACUUUGCGCUGAACAUCAUCGUGCUGCUGGCGAUGGUGCCACUCUUGACGAACGUGUGCCGAAGCCCUGACGUCGAGGUGCGGCGCGGUGCGUGGGCGCUUGCUCUGACGAUGAUUGCCAGCCGCUACCCCAAGGUACGGGCCAAAGUGGCCUCAGACCUCUACGCGUCGCUGCUAGUGUUGACCUCCGGCGCGCUCGCCCCAGCAGGCCUCCCGCUGGAGGGGUGCAGGCGCGCGAUGGCCCACCUCAUGCUGGUGCAGUGGGACGGCAGCGACGCUGCGCGCACGAGGGCUGCGCGCAAUGAGCUGUACGACAUGCUGGAGAUUGACCCCCCUGCCGCUCGAGCAGCCAACGCCGGGGAGUCGGCGAACGAAGACGCGCAGCGAGGCUCCAUGCAGCCGGCGCGGAGUCUGCGGGGUGCGGUAGCCGCCACGUACAAGUCGCUCGUGCAGGAGACCGGCUACUGAGUCGACUUGGCGAAGAGGGGGUCGAGCUCACGUGCUGCUGUGCACGACGUCUUGGAAGCCCGACUACAGUUGAUGCCCAUGAUACCUGGCCGUUGCUUGUGCUACGCAUUCUCGACUCUAGUGCGGAGUGUAUGUGGGUUUGCGCACACUAAGUCCACCCCUUCCCCCUCCUCUAUCAGGCCUCUCGCUCUCUGAUGUGAACCGCAC
RNAcentral lists this unclassified non-coding RNA (4744 nucleotides) under Leishmania donovani. RNAcentral describes it as "gene:LdHU3.24.2550(CDS-product:tubulin_folding_co factor_D_putative)". The record is from RNAcentral. Lineage: Eukaryota; Euglenozoa; Kinetoplastea; Trypanosomatida; Trypanosomatidae.